RNAcentral lists this long non-coding RNA (234 nucleotides) under Carica papaya (papaya). Its description in RNAcentral is "long non-coding RNA (CPAP_LNC005729)". Lineage: Eukaryota; Viridiplantae; Streptophyta; Magnoliopsida; Brassicales; Caricaceae. The record is from RNAcentral.
AAUUGAAUAAACAAUUUUAUGUAAAGAAAUACGAAGGAUAUAAUAUCAUUAGUAAGUAUUUAAAAGUACGUGCAGCAUAAUGGCGCGUCUUGAAACCUCUUUCUAUAGCAAAGCGGACACUGAGGUUUCCUUAAAGGGGAACCACAAGGAGAUGAUAGAGCUUCAAUCGACUCUGAUUGGUGCGUUUUAAAUACGCUCCGUAUACGAAAGUGGGAGUUUCAAUCCUUGGAGACG